GAUCGUGUACUGCGCAUCGCGUGCUCGCCCUUAUGCCGGAUAGAGCACUACCCUUGGAGGUUAAUUUCUUUUCCACGGCGAAGAAUGCUCCGCGAUUAUGGCAGUUUAACCUUUAACGAUGCAGCUAUGCCUUCGAGGUAUCGGAAGUAAAGAUAGAAAGGAGAGAUUAAACCAUAACUGCUCCUGGUUUUAGCUGGACUAAACCUUCAGGAAUUGGGAAUACUAGACCGUCGAUGUUUAUUAUAUAACUAAAAAAUAGGAAUAACAAAGUAUGUAUUAUUUCAAAUUUCCCCGCGUAUACGCAAGUGACGGUCCGCCACAGGCCUAUAUAUAUGAGGCCCUAUUCGCUGCAUUCGUCAUUCUCUCCAACGACGCCUACGAGGUAGGAUGGGAGCCGGGGCAUCACCAUUGCUCCCGGGGAAGGCUGAUUUGAUCAAGGGUGUACUUUCAGUUAAAAAAGAUGGCGCAGUGAUCAGGACACACGAGAAUUACAAGGAGGACCAGACCCGAAAGGCUCAGUUCGGACGAACCAGGGUAUCGGCAACGCCGCGGUCCAAAAACAGUUCGAGAGGCAAUCGCGGUUUUAAAACGUGCUUCCUGCUACGAUAAAUGGUUUUCGACGGUACCGUUCGUAUGUCACGGCUGCCAGAUCUGCAGCGUAGAGUAUACGCGCCAAACAAAAAUACCCCUCGGUCGGCCUUCGAUGUCAAUAUACAGUGCUAGCCGGAUUAUUGUAAUACCCCAUUGGGGCCCGAGAAUUUACAGAAAAACAGGAUGAAGAAUGUUGUCAUCAGGUUCUUGGGAACAAAAUUGAUGAGCGUCACUUGCGAAGCAGCCAGAUAGGGCAUUGGUCAGGGUUCAGGAUCAUGAGUCAUCGUAUAAUAGAAAUAAAAGAUUUUCUACUUUAUAA
Long non-coding RNA from Osmia lignaria (orchard mason bee), 910 nucleotides. RefSeq lists it as uncharacterized. The record is from RefSeq and is a predicted model, not a curated record. NCBI's taxonomy places the organism in Eukaryota, Metazoa, Arthropoda, Insecta, Hymenoptera, Megachilidae.